CUCUUGGAUAAGCAUCUUUAUUAUGAUUUAUUGUGUAUUGAUAACAAAUCAUAUAUUAUUUUUAUAUUACAUAUUAUAUUAUGCUAUAUAAAUGAAAAUAAAUGGUAAUAAAAAUAUCUCCCAAGUGAGGUAUAGAUCAGAGAGAAUAAAAAAAGAAAAGAAAUACAUGUAGAAAUUGCUCUCUGAGGAGGGUGAGGUAAACAGAUAUUAAGGGGAAAUUUGGGUAAGUUGUAAAAACAAAGCAUAAUUAGAAAUCAAUUUAAAGGGGGCAGCUGGGUAGCUCAGUGGAUUGAGAGUCAGGUCUAGAGAUGGAAGGUCUUGGUUUCAAAUGGGACAUCAGAUACUUUCUAGUUGUGUGACCCUGGGCAAGUCACUUAAAACCAAUUGUUUGGUCCUUACUCCUCUUCUGUGAAACCAAUACACAGUUAUAUAAAAUACCAAUUAAAAAAAUUCAUUGAAAGAAAACUGUUUUUUUAAAAGAAUAUAUGAUGGGGCCAAGCCAAAAUGGGCUACCAUGCUUUGCCUAUUGACCUUUAAAGGAAAGUUGGGUCUCUGAGAAAGCAACCCAGAGAAUUGAAAAGAUUUAGAAGUCUACAUGAGUAACACUGGAGAUUAGAGGUAGGGAUGGAAUGGGGGUGGUGGUAUGUCAUUAAAUGCCAUUCCUUUGAAGUCUAAUACUGGGGAAUUCCAACCACAAUCUGAGAUUUUGAGGUGGAGGUGAGAAGUAAGAAAAAAAUGAGAGAAGGAAAAAAAUAAUGACUGAAAGGCAAGAGGAAGAGAAGAAAGAAGAAAAGGAAGGAAGGAAGGAAGGAAGGAAGGAAGGAAGGAAGGAAGGAAGGAAGGAAGGAAGGAAGGAAGGAAGGAAGGAAGGAAGGAAGGAAGGAAGGAAGGAAGGAAGGAAGGAAGGAAGGAAGGAGCAUUGAAGAACUCCAAAAUUAAUUAGCUUGCAGUGUAUCAAGAACAAGUGAAUUCAAGUUGACAAAUAGGAACAAGUACAAACUGUUCUGAAUUGGGCAUAAAUACGCCCACUCCCCCUCACAUUCAUGUGGCUGUGAGUUCCAACCAGGAGAAGGAUAUUUAGAAACCAAGCAGAUAUUUGAAAAUCCUUUCUCGGAGUAGAGUUGGAGGAUUUUCUCAGGGAACUGCCUUUCCCUUUCUGGACUCAUUACUCUCUUGGACUCCGAGCAAAAUUGCAGAGAUUGGGCUCUGUCAAAGAACUCGGCAAUUUGUAAACUAGAAGAAUGGGGUGCCCCAUAAGAGGCUGUGUGGAUUCCAUCCUUGGACAUCUUCAAGGGUUAGUCUGUUAUCUGGGCUGGAGGAAGGGCUAACUGUGAGCCAUCAGGGAUUCCUCCCAACAAACCUUUCAGCUCACCGCCUCCUCUCUUCACCAGCUAAUCUCAGCUGCACUAAGGUGGUGGGAAAGGAAUUUUUGCCCUUCUCAGUAGGAUUUACAUUUUUUUUAAGGCAACUCUAGGGGUAACCCAAAGGUACAAACCCAAGGGCCAUUUCUCAGUUCUCAUCUUUUACCUCUUGGCAGAAUUUUACCUUAUUUCCCAGCCAGUCCUUCUGGGUAUUCUUUUCUCUUUGGGUUUUCGUGGCCAUGCCUUUUCUUGAUUGUCCUCCUUCUUGUCUGGCUAUUCCUCAGUAUCCUUUGCAGGAUUAUUAUCUGUAUCUGCCCUCUUACUUUGGGUAUAACCCAAGGCUUAGAAAUAAGGUACAUGUUUCUUUUCUCUCUAUGGUCUCCCAGGAAUCCCAUUAGUUCAGUGACAUUUCCUAUGUAGAUGUUUCUCAGGUCUGUCUCCAGUUCUACUAUCUCUGAAUUGACAAAUAUUAUUAAAUACCUAUUAUGUGGGGCAGCUAGGUAGAUAGAGAGCCAGUCCUGGAGAUGGGAAGUCUUGGGUUCAAAUCUGACCUCAGACACUUUCUAGUUGUGUGGCCCUGGUAAGUCACUUAACUCCAAUUGCCUAGCCCUUACCACUCUUCUGCCUUGGAACUCAUUCUUAGUAUUGAUUCUAAGGCAGACAGUAACAGUAAUUAAAAAAUAAUUCAAUCAAUAUAAGUUAUUAAUUCCUAGGCAAAAGAGCAGCAAGGGUUAGGCAACUGGAGGUAAGUGACUUGUCUAGGAUCAUACAGCUAGGAAGUGUGUGAAUCCAGAGUUGAACUCAGGACCUCCCAUCUCCAGGCCUGGCAUUCUAACCACUGAGCCACCUGGUUUACAAAAAUUUAAUUCAGACAGAAAUAUUAUAACAAAAUAAGGAUACAAUAAAACAAAGAUAUUUCAUUCUUUAAUAUUUUAC
RNAcentral lists this long non-coding RNA (2297 nucleotides) under Monodelphis domestica (gray short-tailed opossum). RNAcentral's name for it is "lncRNA (ENSMODG00000050479.1)". Lineage: Eukaryota; Metazoa; Chordata; Mammalia; Didelphimorphia; Didelphidae. The record is from RNAcentral.